RNAcentral lists this long non-coding RNA (1008 nucleotides) under Rosa chinensis. RNAcentral describes it as "sRNA RchiOBHm_Chr4g0413421". The record is from RNAcentral. Lineage: Eukaryota; Viridiplantae; Streptophyta; Magnoliopsida; Rosales; Rosaceae.
GAAACAAUCCCAAAGUGAAAUAUUGUGCAAUACACAAAAAAUUGAAAAACUCUCGAGAGGAGGAGAAUUCUGCUUGGAUUUCUUGGCAACGCUCUGGCAAUUAUGGUUGGAGAGAUUGGAUUUUCUUAUCUCUUUGACCAACAAGAUGAGGAUGACGGCAAUGGAGGAAUCCAUUGGCAUCACGAAUGGCUUUGACUGGACCCAAUCGUGUAGCGAUCCAGGUCAGAGCUUGGGUUCCCGUUUCUGGUACGCGGCCAUAGGAGGUCAGUAGAGAAGAAAUUUAGGUCGUUUCUGGACCGGAACAACUUGCGUACAGCAGGCAAGAGUGGUGGCUAGGCCAUCCAGGUUGGGGCUCAGGAGAUCCCGACCUGGGUCUGAUCAUGUUCAAGGUUGGACAGCGGUAGUUGGUCCCUGACUUAGGUUAUUGGGACGACGUGGUUGCUUGGCCGGAGACGAAUUGCCGAAGAUGUAGUAAGAAAGAGUGGUGAGUAGAUGUAAGGUUUGGACAGACGGUGACAACCCGGGCUUGGCUUCCAGGUCGAUCUGUUAGCGUUGGCCCAAACGGAAGCGGCGCUUCUGGUGAGGGCUGCGACAUUGGUGGCGGUGUUGUGGCAAGCGGCGGUCCAACUGCUAGUGAACGGGAGUUUGGCGGUAGCAGGGAUGAGGAGCCUAGCCGCUUGGGUGCCCUCAAUAAUUGUAACUGGGCCUGGGUUUCAAACCCUUAGGGCUUUGGACCUUCGGCUGGGCUUUAGUUUGGUUUUGGGUGACUGACAUCUCGCUGAUUUCUUUCCCUGUGGGAAAGGAGUAAACGGGUUCUCAGUUUUGAGAUAUGUCACCAAAGAUGUUCACUUCAUCUGUGCCAUUUGAUUACUGAUGGGUGAUGUCGAAUAGUUUUUGGAUGUGCUUCAUUGUUCCAUAAAAAGGUUGAAUUGUUUAGAUAAUGGCUUUUUUGUCAGCCCUACAUGGGUAGGUCGUUAUGUAUGAUUCUUCUGAUCCAAUAAAAGAGUU